AUUUUGUAUUUAUUUAUUUUUUGAGAUGGAGUCUCACUCUGUCGCCCAGGCUGGAGUGCAGUGGCGCGAUCUCGGCUCACUGCAACCUCCACCUCCCAGGUUCAAGGGAUUCUCCUGCCUCAGCCUCCCGAGUAGCUUAGAUUACAGGCAUGUGCCACCACACCUGGCUAAUUUUUUGUAUUUUUAGUAGAGAUGGGGUUUUGCCAAGUUGGCCAGGCUGGUCUCAAACUCCUGAUCUCAGGUGAUCCACCCACCUCGGCCUCCCAAAGUGCUGGGAUUACAGGCAUGAGCCACCGAACCCAGCCAAUAUAUACAGUUUUAAAAAUCAACGUUGUUUUACUCACCUCAUAACAUGGUUAAGUCAGCAUGAUGCCUUUUUUGGAUUGCGUUUAAAGAGCUGUUUCAGGGAAUAUUCUCCAGGCUGUGCUUCACGUCAAGAAAAAUGUAGGGCAUACUGACUGAUGGCGGUAGGCGGGAAUCCAGGAGAUAAUGAGGAGAAUGAACUGGGUGUUCACUUUACCAGCUAUUAAAAACCGUAGCAAACCAUCACCUACCAAUGAUGAUAGUGUGCCAUGAAUCUGAGAGUUUGGUCAAACCAGUGUUACAUAUUUAAGAAUUGUACCUGCCAUCACCACUACCCUGCACCAUGUGCCAGAGCUGAGAGCUGCGUGUGAGUCUCAAGGUAGGAUAUCCUCUUCCAGUUUCAGUUUGACUGAGUGCUUUUCAGUGUUUGUACCAUGAAUUUGGGGCCUUUUUAAAUUUCAUGUCUACGUUAUUUUCUUCCCUAG
This 788-nucleotide long non-coding RNA is filed under the name Homo sapiens (human). RNAcentral's name for it is "HSALNT0236815". The record is from RNAcentral. Lineage: Eukaryota; Metazoa; Chordata; Mammalia; Primates; Hominidae.